ACUCGCUGUUCUGGCUUUUUUGUUAGAGCGGCUUAGCGAAAGCGUUAAGUGUCCCACCUGGGGAGUACGCCGGCAACGGUGAAACUCAAAGGAAUUGACGGGGGCCCGCACAAGCGGAGGAACAUGUGGUUUAAUUCGAUGAUACGCGAGGAACCUUACCCGGGCUUGAAAGUUAGUGACGGCGGAUGAAAGUCUGCUUCCCUUCGGGGCACGAAACUAGGUGCUGCAUGGUUGUCGUCAGCUCGUGCCGUGAGGUGUCGGCUUAAGUGCCAUAACGAGCGCAACCCUUGCCGUUAGUUGCCAGCGGGUAAUGCCGGGAACUCUAGCGGGACUGCUAC
This 338-nucleotide ribosomal RNA is filed under the name Klebsiella pneumoniae. RNAcentral describes it as "bacterial SSU rRNA". It matches the Rfam family "Bacterial small subunit ribosomal RNA", at positions 815 to 1155 of the family's 1533-position model. The record is from RNAcentral. Lineage: Bacteria; Pseudomonadati; Pseudomonadota; Gammaproteobacteria; Enterobacterales; Enterobacteriaceae.